Molecule: ribosomal RNA, 620 nt
Filed under: uncultured archaeon
Lineage: Archaea
Description: bacterial SSU rRNA
Rfam family: Archaeal small subunit ribosomal RNA
Source: RNAcentral
CCCUACGGGGCGCAGCAGGCGCGAAAACUUUACAAUGCGGGAAACCGUGAUAAGGGAACACCGAGUGCCAGCAUCAUAUGCUGGCUGUCCAGAUGUGUAAACUACAUCUGUUAGCAAGGGCCGGGCAAGACCGGUGCCAGCCGCCGCGGUAACACCGGCGGCCCGAGUGGUGACCGUUAUUAUUGGGUCUAAAGGGUCCGUAGCCGGUUUGGUCAGUCCUCCGGGAAAUCUGAUAGCUUAACUGUUAGGCUUUCGGGGAAUACUGCCAGGCUUGGAACCGGGAGAGGUAAGAGGUACUACAGGGGUAGGAGUGAAAUCUUGUAAUCCCUGUGAGACCACCUGUGGCGAAGGCGUCUUACCAGAACGGGUUCGACGGUGAGGGACGAAAGCUGGGGGCACGAACCGGAUUAGAUACCCGGGUAGUCCCAGCCGUAAACUAUGCUCGCUAGGUGUCAGGCAUGGCGCGACCGUGUCUGGUGCCGCAGGGAAGCCGUGAAGCGAGCCACCUGGGAAGUACGGCCGCAAGGCUGAAACUUAAAGGAAUUGGCGGGGGAGCACAACAACGGGUGGAGCCUGCGGUUUAAUUGGACUCAACGCCGGACAACUCACCGGGAACGACA